CUCAUUCUCCCCAUCUGGUUUGGAAGAAGCACACUGUUGUCUGGAGGCUCUUCAUUUGCCAAGUAGCCUUUUGGUAGCAAGCAUAAGAUCUGGCUUUGUUUCUCAGCAUGCUUAUCACAAGGCACCUUUUACCGUCUGCAAACAGCCACCACCUAAAAGACACUCCUCAAGCUUUGGAGUGGUUUUCUAGGUUAGCCACUUCACAUUUCUGGAGAUGCAUUGGAGCAAGGAGGAAUUAGUCAAGUAGCUAUUGACUGUAACUGAAGUGGAAUCAGCUCUACAGGGACUGAACUCAAGACAACAUCCAUGACUUUAUGCUCACAGGAGCUAUGUUUGGUAGUGGCAGCCCAUGGAUCAAGCUGGAGGAAGGUGCUUGCCUGUUCAGUUGAUGAAGUGUUGAUAAGCUGUCCUGUUGUCAUGUAGAGCAGGCUGAAAGUUCUAUCCAGAGACAUAGUGAAGUGAAAUUGAAAUUUCACAAACUAGAAAUAAGGACCACAAAGGAAUUCUGGAAGCAGGCUUGGAAAAGAAAGGAAAGCGUGAAUCUCAGGAUGAAAAAAAGGUAAGGACACACACAUGAAGUUACCAUGCGAAGGGAUGCUCCCCCUCCAUGCUGGAUCAAGAAUCAAAUGCUUAUAUAAGUAUACACCCAACGAGAAAAAUGGAGGGUACAGGAACCAGUUUCAAGCAGUUUUGUUAGGGAAAUGAAUCCUCAGCCUCAUACAAAUUUAAGUCCCUUUGGAUUUUAUAUUACUCCCAUAUGCUGUGGAGAUCAAGCAUUUAUCUUGAUAUGCGUAACAGUGCACAUGCCUUUCUUAUCUCUCAUAAUUCCACAGAAAUAAAUGUAUGAAAUAUAUCUAGUUCAUAUUCAUGGUAACCUGUUAUCAGCUGAACAGAUACAUUCAACCCUUCUGUAUUUUAAUGUAACAUGUACAGUCAAAUUACUUUGUGCCUUUUUGCCAUCUGCAGUGUGCUGGUAGGAGGUGAUUAGUAAUAGACCACCAUCUGCUUAAGAGCAGAGGCCAUUGUAAAUGAUAGGCAAACAUAUAUUGCGAUGUUCGCAUAGUGGAAAGUCCAUGAAUUAGCACUGUGGCAUAUUCAGAUGUCUUAUGAGUCAUAUUCCAAUUGAGGGGGUAAAAACAAAGGUAAACAUUCUUAUAAUUGUCCAUUAACCAAUCAUUCUACACAUCCACACAUGUACCCUGAGAAUUACUUCUAGUCAUUUCCUCUAUGUUUCAAUCCUGCACAAUUACAAAAUAUUUCAAAAUAAAUUUCUUUAAAUCUUUGGGAUUGUUUUACUAAUCUCACCCCCUCCAGAAAUGUCCCAUCACCUCUAGCCAUCCUUUGAUGAAUUAAUACUCUAACCAUGAUGACAACCAUCUCAUUCUCCUCUCAUUUCCUCAUAUGACCAGGCCACCUUAGGGUUACCAUCUGAAUCUUGCUCAGAGCAAAACAAUUAAUUCAGUGUAGGAAUUUUAAUAGUCAUAAGAUUCAUCAUAACCUCAAAUACUCCAAAGUUGCUGUUCAAAUAAUACCAAGAAAACUUGGCAUUAAAUGUUAAUAUUUCCUGAUAUCCAAACCCUGAGGUUUGGUAC
Sceloporus undulatus (fence lizard) is the source of this 1592-nucleotide long non-coding RNA. RefSeq lists it as uncharacterized. The record is from RefSeq and is a predicted model, not a curated record. The transcript is spliced from 4 exons. Lineage: Eukaryota; Metazoa; Chordata; Lepidosauria; Squamata; Phrynosomatidae.